RNAcentral lists this long non-coding RNA (251 nucleotides) under Linum usitatissimum (flax). Its description in RNAcentral is "long non-coding RNA (LUSI_LNC000598)". Lineage: Eukaryota; Viridiplantae; Streptophyta; Magnoliopsida; Malpighiales; Linaceae. The record is from RNAcentral.
CUGGAGCUGUUCAAAAAUAGAUGGAAAAAUGCUGCAAGGAAAGAUUCCUGUUGGGUUGAUCCCUAUCAAUAAGGAACUAAGCUUUAAAGGGCCACAUGAUUCUUCUACACUGAGCAACACAAUGUACAGUCUCAGGAUAUCUUUGACACUUCUGCGAAGAGUUGUUCAUAUUUUUCGCUCGUUAUAUUGCUUACUUGGAUUUCACUUUUUCAUUCGCGGUCAUAAUCUGUACACUCAAAAGUAGAGUCAGG